GACGAACGCUGGCGGCGUGCUUAACACAUGCAAGUCGAACGGAAAGGCCCUGCUUUUGUGGGGUGCUCGAGUGGCGAACGGGUGAUUAACACGUGAGUAACCUGCCCUUGACUUUGGGAUAACUUCAGGAAACUGGGUCUAAUACCGGAUAUGAGCUCCUGCUGCAUGGUGGGGGUUGGAAAGUUUCGGCGGUUGGGGAUGGACUCGCGGCUUAUCAGCUUGUUGGUGGGGUAGUGGCUUACCAAGGCUUUGACGGGUAGCCGGCCUGAGAGGGUGACCGGCCACAUUGGGACUGAGAUACGGCCCAGACUCCUACGGGAGGCAGCAGUGGGGAAUAUUGCACAAUGGGCGGAAGCCUGAUGAAGCAACGCCGCGUGCGGGAUGACGGCCUUCGGGUUGUAAACCGCUUUCGCCUGUGACGAAGCGUGAGUGACGGUAAUGGGUAAAGAAGCACCGGCUAACUACGUG
RNAcentral lists this ribosomal RNA (468 nucleotides) under uncultured bacterium. RNAcentral describes it as "partial 16S ribosomal RNA". It matches the Rfam family "Bacterial small subunit ribosomal RNA", at positions 28 to 507 of the family's 1533-position model. The record is from RNAcentral.